AUUGAACGCUGGCGGCAUGCUUUACACAUGCAAGUCGAACGGUAACAGGCCGCCAGGUGCUGACGAGUGGCGAACGGGUGAGUAAUGCAUCGGAACGUGCCCAGUCGUGGGGGAUAACUACUCGAAAGAGUAGCUAAUACCGCAUACGAUCUAUGGAUGAAAGCGGGGGACCGUAAGGCCUCGCGCGAUUGGAGCGGCCGAUGUCAGAUUAGGUAGUUGGUGGGGUAAAGGCUCACCAAGCCAACGAUCUGUAGCUGGUCUGAGAGGACGACCAGCCACACUGGGACUGAGACACGGCCCAGACUCCUACGGGAGGCAGCAGUGGGGAAUUUUGGACAAUGGGCGCAAGCCUGAUCCAGCAAUGCCGCGUGCAGGAAGAAGGCCUUCGGGUUGUAAACUGCUUUUGUACGGAACGAAACGGCUCUGGUUAAUACCCGGGGCUAAUGACGGUACCGUAAGGAUAAGCACCGGCUAACUACGUG
Molecule: ribosomal RNA, 482 nt
Filed under: uncultured bacterium
Lineage: Bacteria
Description: partial 16S ribosomal RNA
Rfam family: Bacterial small subunit ribosomal RNA
Source: RNAcentral